Molecule: transfer RNA, 74 nt
Filed under: Deltaproteobacteria bacterium
Lineage: Bacteria; Pseudomonadati; Myxococcota; Myxococcia
Rfam family: tRNA
About the family: Transfer RNA (tRNA) molecules are approximately 80 nucleotides in length. Their secondary structure includes four short double-helical elements and three loops (D, anti-codon, and T loops).
Source: Rfam by way of RNAcentral
GCGCCAGUAGCUCAGCUGGAUAGAGCGCCGGACUACGAAUCCGUAGGUCGGGGGUUCGAAUCCCUCCUGGCGUA